UACAGAGGGUGCAAGCGUUGUUCGGAAUUACUGGGCGUAAAGGGCGCGUAGGCGGCUUGGUCAGUCCCGUGUGAAAUCCCUCGGCUCAACUGAGGAACUGCACGGGAAACUGCCUGGCUUGAGUUCGGGAGAGGGUAGCGGAAUUCCCGGUGUAGUGGUGAAAUGCGUAGAUAUCUGGAGGAACACCGGUGGCGAAGGCGGCAUCCUGGACCGGUAUUGACGCUGAGGCGCGAAAGCCAGGGGAGCAAACGGG
RNAcentral lists this ribosomal RNA (253 nucleotides) under uncultured bacterium. RNAcentral describes it as "partial 16S ribosomal RNA". It matches the Rfam family "Bacterial small subunit ribosomal RNA", at positions 524 to 776 of the family's 1533-position model. The record is from RNAcentral.